RNAcentral lists this ribosomal RNA (236 nucleotides) under Salmonella enterica subsp. enterica serovar Newport. RNAcentral describes it as "partial 23S ribosomal RNA". It matches the Rfam family "Bacterial large subunit ribosomal RNA", at positions 1036 to 1270 of the family's 2925-position model. Lineage: Bacteria; Pseudomonadati; Pseudomonadota; Gammaproteobacteria; Enterobacterales; Enterobacteriaceae. The record is from RNAcentral.
CAGCUAAGGUCCCAAAGUCAUGGUUAAGUGGGAAACGAUGUGGGAAGGCCCAGACAGCCAGGAUGUUGGCUUAGAAGCAGCCAUCAUUUAAAGAAAGCGUAAUAGCUCACUGGUCGAGUCGGCCUGCGCGGAAGAUGUAACGGGGCUAAACCAUGCACCGAAGCUGCGGCAGCGACGCUGAUGCGUUGUUGGGUAGGGGAGCGUUCUGUAAGCCUGCGAAGGUGGCCUGUGAGGGU